CGGUGAGAAGCUUGCUUCUCACCGGCGACGAGUGGCGAACGGGUGAGUAAUACAUCGGAACGUGUCCGCUCGUGGGGGACAACCAGCCGAAAGGUUGGCUAAUACCGCAUGAGUUCUACGGAAGAAAGAGGGGGACCCGCAAGGGCCUCUCGCGAGCGGAGCGGCCGAUGACUGAUUAGCCGGUUGGUGAGGUAACGGCUCACCAAAGCAACGAUCAGUAGCUGGUCUGAGAGGACGACCAGCCACACUGGGACUGAGACACGGCCCAGACUCC
Molecule: ribosomal RNA, 274 nt
Filed under: uncultured Parasutterella sp.
Lineage: Bacteria; Pseudomonadati; Pseudomonadota; Betaproteobacteria; Burkholderiales; Sutterellaceae
Description: partial 16S ribosomal RNA
Rfam family: Bacterial small subunit ribosomal RNA
Source: RNAcentral